GACGAACGCUGGCGGCGUGCUUAACACAUGCAAGUCGAGCGAUGAAGUUCCUUCGGGAAUGGAUUAGCGGCGGACGGGUGAGUAACACGUGGGUAACCUGCCUCAUAGAGGGGAAUAGCCUUCCGAAAGGAAGAUUAAUACCGCACAAGAUUGUAGUAUCGCAUGAUACAGCAAUUAAAGGAGCAAUCCGCUAUGAGAUGAACCCGCGUCGCAUUAGCUAGUUGGUGAGGUAACGGCUCACCAAGGCGACGAUGCGUAGCCGACCUGAGAGGGUGAUCGGCCACAUUGGGACUGAGACACGGCCCAGACUCCUACGGGAGGCAGCAGUGGGGAAUAUUGCACAAUGGGGGAAACCCUGAUGCAGCAACGCCGCGUGAGUGAUGACGGUCUUCGGAUUGUAAAGCUCUGUCUUCAGGGACGAUAAUGACGGUACCUGAGGAGGAAGCCACGGCUAACUACGUGCCAGCCGCCGCGGUAA
This 478-nucleotide ribosomal RNA is filed under the name uncultured bacterium. Its description in RNAcentral is "partial 16S ribosomal RNA". It matches the Rfam family "Bacterial small subunit ribosomal RNA", at positions 28 to 523 of the family's 1533-position model. The record is from RNAcentral.